GACGAACGAGGGAGGAGGGAGGAACACAUGCAAGUCGAACGGAAAGGCCCUGCUUUUGUGGGGUGCUCGAGUGGCGAACGGGUGAGUAACACGUGAGUAACCUGCCCUUGACUUUGGGAUAACUUCAGGAAACUGGGGCUAAUACCGGAUAGGAGCUCCUGCUGCAUGGUGGGGGUUGGAAAGUUUCGGCGGUUGGGGAUGGACUCGCGGCUUAUCAGCUUGUUGGUGGGGUAGUGGCUUACCAAGGCUUUGACGGGUAGCCGGCCUGAGAGGGUGACCGGCUACAUUGGGACUGAGAUACGGCCCAGACUCCUACGGGAGGCAGCAGUGGGGAAUAUUGCACAAUGGGCGGAAGCCUGAUGCAGCAACGCCGCGUGCGGGAUGACGGCCUUCGGGUUGUAAACCGCUUUCGCCUGUGACGAAGCGUGAGUGACGGUAAUGGGUAAAGAAGCACCGGCUAACUACGUG
This 468-nucleotide ribosomal RNA is filed under the name uncultured bacterium. RNAcentral describes it as "partial 16S ribosomal RNA". It matches the Rfam family "Bacterial small subunit ribosomal RNA", at positions 28 to 507 of the family's 1533-position model. The record is from RNAcentral.